Molecule: non-coding RNA, 986 nt
Organism: Oryctolagus cuniculus (rabbit)
Lineage: Eukaryota; Metazoa; Chordata; Mammalia; Lagomorpha; Leporidae
Source: RefSeq, a predicted model, not a curated record
UCAAAUCCAUUCACACUCUUUUUCUCAUUGGUUAUCAAAUCUCACCAGCAUUAUCUAUUACCUAGUCAUCUGCAAGAUUCUGUUAAUGGAUUGUUGCUUGCACGUUUUCUUCUCCACUCUCCAUAUAUGGGGAGCAAUGUGAUUUCUUUAAAAUGCUAACAGAAAGUGCCAUUCCCUAUAUUAGAACACUGUGCGGCUCCAUUACUCUUCGAAUAAGGUCAAACACCUCAUGCUGACCAACAAAGUCCCACGUGACUUGAUCCUGCUAUAUCUAGCCACAUCUUUGUUUACUGUCAUCCUUCCCUUGAAGCUUCAGACACAUUAUAUCCCUUAUCAGAAAGCUCAUUCCAUCAUGCUUUUGAACAACUGUUUUCUAAGUGUGGAAUAUACCUUGCAAUUUUGUUAUAGCUAGCUUGUCAAAGCUAAUGCCUCAGAGUAAAUGCUACUUUUGUCACUGUAAGUAUGUUGCUACUGCAAAAAAUGAGGAUCGUACUUAAGAGUCAUUUCAUAAUGGGUUUAAUUAUUUCACUUACAAGAAUUUUGGAAGGAUGGCACAGUGUUAGUUAACGAAAUAGCACAGAGAUAUCAAAGUACCCAUUCAGUUUCUAUGUUCAUUCUCUUUAUCUUGUUUUCAAGGUUAUGAUGGCUUCAGAUAAUUCAAGCAUAACACCAGAGGGGGAAGAUGCCCAGAGAAUGAACCAUGGAUAUUUAAAGCAAAAACAUACAUGAUAAACAAUAUUCUUCUUAUGGGUACUUCUGAAGAUUGAUGGGUACAAUGAAUAUAAUGUAUUCCAGAGAAAUACCUGGCACAGAUCACUUUUGAGGACAGAAGUUACAGACUGAAGAAGCCAAGAAAGUAACUUUGCGAUAUCAUGGUGGUUUAUAAUAUAGUAAUGACCUUCCCCAAAGAGACCCACAGAUGUUUCUUCAGAAUGAGGGAAGGCUCCAUUUCACUCACCAAGAUGGAAAACGAUGAGAGGAACAAC